ACGGCUACAUCACGUUAAAACACUGGUUCCCGUACGAACACCGAAGUUAAGCAACGUCGAGCCAGGUCAGUACCUAGAUAGGUAACCACCUGAGAAUACCAGGUGCUGUAAG
Molecule: non-coding RNA, 112 nt
Organism: Acanthosepion pharaonis
Lineage: Eukaryota; Metazoa; Mollusca; Cephalopoda; Sepiida; Sepiidae
Source: the annotation of a GenBank genome assembly